CGUAGCGCUAGCACAUUAUUUUUUUAUACACGUCAUCCCCCCCCUACCGAUUAUCUCUGAGGGGUCUUGGUGUGUGUGAGAGACACCCGCCCCGGGGGCUAUGUCGUUCAAAUUGGUACGGAGGAUUUGGGUUAACUCCGCAACCAACCUAUCUUUGUCCUUAGUGGUCUCCAAGACCCUUCUAAGGAGCUUCCGGUGACAAACUAGAAGGAGUGGGGAUGACGUCAGUCUCAUGACUAUGGGUAGCUCACACGUCAUACAUGUCCUUCGUAUCGCACCCGCGAGAUGAGACGAUCCUCAGACGUCACUAUCCGAUUGCAGUCUGCACUCGACUGCAUGAAGCUGAAUCGCUAGUAAUCGCUGAUCAG
This 368-nucleotide ribosomal RNA is filed under the name Enterobacter sp. FER57. RNAcentral's name for it is "partial 16S ribosomal RNA". Lineage: Bacteria; Pseudomonadati; Pseudomonadota; Gammaproteobacteria; Enterobacterales; Enterobacteriaceae. The record is from RNAcentral.